This 468-nucleotide ribosomal RNA is filed under the name uncultured bacterium. RNAcentral describes it as "partial 16S ribosomal RNA". It matches the Rfam family "Bacterial small subunit ribosomal RNA", at positions 28 to 507 of the family's 1533-position model. The record is from RNAcentral.
GACGAACGCUGGCGGCGUGCUUAACACAUGCAAGUCGAACGGAAAGGCCCUGCUUUUGUGGUGUGCUCGAGUGGCGAACGGGUGAGUAACACGUGAGUAACCUGCCCUUGACUUUGGGAUAACUUCAGGAAACUGGGGCUAAUACCGGAUAGGAGCUCCUGCUGCAUGGUGGGGGUUGGAAAGUUUCGGCGGUUGGGGAUGGACGCGCGGCUUAUCAGCUUGUUGGUGGGGUAGUGGCUUACCAAGGCUUUGGCGGGUCGCCGGCAUGAGAGGGUGACCGGCCACAUGAGGACUGAGAUACGGCGCAGACUCCUACGGGAGGCAGAGGUGGGGAAUAUUGCACAGUGGGCGGACGCGUGAUGCGGCGGCGCCGGGUGCGGGAAGCCCGCCUGCUGGUUGUAAACCGCUUUCGCUUGUGACGAAGCGGGAGUGACGGUACUGGGUGAAGAAGCACCGGCUAACUACGUG